Molecule: ribosomal RNA, 437 nt
Filed under: uncultured bacterium
Lineage: Bacteria
Description: partial 16S ribosomal RNA
Rfam family: Bacterial small subunit ribosomal RNA
Source: RNAcentral
AGCGAACGCUGGCGGCAGGCUUAACACAUGCAAGUCGAGCGGGCAUCCUUGUGGUGUCAGCGGCAGACGGGUGAGUAACGCGUGGGAACGUGCCCUUCGGUUCGGAAUAACUCAGGGAAACUUGAGCUAAUACCGGAUACGUGCGAGAGCAGAAAGGUUUAUCUGCCGAAGGAUCGGCCCGCGUCUGAUUAGCUAGUUGGUGAGGUUAUGGCUCACCAAGGCGACGAUCAGUAGCUGGUCUGAGAGGAUGAUCAGCCACACUGGGACUGAGACACGGCCCAGACUCCUACGGGAGGCAGCAGUGGGGAAUAUUGGACAAUGGGGGCAACCCUGAGCCAGCCAUGCCGCGUGAGUGAUGACGGCCUUAGGGUUGUAAAGCUCUUUUCUCCGGGACGAUAAUGACGGUACCGGAGGAAUAAGCCCCGGCUAACUUCGUG